Molecule: ribosomal RNA, 497 nt
Filed under: uncultured bacterium
Lineage: Bacteria
Description: partial 16S ribosomal RNA
Rfam family: Bacterial small subunit ribosomal RNA
Source: RNAcentral
GAUGAACGCUGGCGGCGUGCCUAAUACAUGCAAGUCGAGCGAACAGACGAGGAGCUUGCUCCUCUGACGUUAGCGGCGGAAGGGUGAGUAACACGUGGAUAACCUACCUAUAAGACUGGGAUAACUUCGGGAAAACGGAGCUAAUACCGGAUAAUAUAUUGAACCGCAUGGUUCAAUAGUGAAAGACGGUUUUGCUUUCACUUAUAGAUGGAUCCGCGCCGCAUUAGCUAGUUGGUAAGGUAACGGCUUACCAAGGCAACGAUGCGUAGCCGACCUGAGAGGGUGAUCGGCCACACUGGAACUGAGACACGGUCCAGACUCCUACGGGAGGCAGCAGUAGGGAAUCUUCCGCAAUGGGCGAAAGCCUGACGGAGCAACGCCGCGUGAGUGAUGAAGGUCUUCGGAUCGUAAAACUCUGUUAUUAGGGAAGAACAAAUGUGUAAGUAACUAUGCACGUCUUGACGGUACCUAAUCAGAAAGCCACGGCUAACUACGUG